AGCGAACGCUGGCGGCAGGCCUAACACAUGCAAGUCGAACGAACCUUUCGGGGUUAGUGGCGGACGGGUGAGUAACACGUGGGAACGUGCCUUUAGGUUCGGAAUAACUCAGGGAAACUUGUGCUAAUACCGAAUGUGCCCUUCGGGGGAAAGAUUAAUCGCCUUUAGAGCGGCCCGCGUCUGAUUAGCUAGUUGGUUGAGGUAAUGGCUCACCAAGGCGACGAUCAGUAGCUGGUCUGAGAGGAGGAUCAGCCACAUUGGGACUGAGACACGGCCCAAACUCUUACGGGAGGCAGCAGUGGGGAAUCUUGCGCAAUGGGCGAAAGCCUGACGCAGCCAUGCCGCGUGAAUGAUGAAGGUCUUAGGAUUGUAAAAUUCUUUCACCGGGGACGAUAAUGACGGUACCCGGAGAAGAAGCCCCGGCUAACUUCGUG
This 434-nucleotide ribosomal RNA is filed under the name uncultured bacterium. RNAcentral's name for it is "partial 16S ribosomal RNA". It matches the Rfam family "Bacterial small subunit ribosomal RNA", at positions 29 to 507 of the family's 1533-position model. The record is from RNAcentral.